RNAcentral lists this ribosomal RNA (254 nucleotides) under uncultured bacterium. RNAcentral describes it as "partial 16S ribosomal RNA". It matches the Rfam family "Bacterial small subunit ribosomal RNA", at positions 524 to 776 of the family's 1533-position model. The record is from RNAcentral.
UACAGAGGUGGCAAGCGUUGUUCGGAAUUACUGGGCGUAAAGGGCGCGUAGGCGGCCUUCUAAGUCAGACGUGAAAUCCCCAGGCUUAACUUGGGAACUGCGUCUGAUACUGGGAGGCUUGAGUGCGGGGAGAGGGAUGUGGAAUUCCAGGUGUAGCGGUGAAAUGCGCAGAUAUCAGGAGGAACACCGGUGGCGAAGGCGGGUCUCUGGGCCGAUACUGACGCUGAGGAGCGAAAGCGUGGGGAGCGAACAGG